Molecule: transfer RNA, 84 nt
Filed under: Bremerella sp. P1
Lineage: Bacteria; Pseudomonadati; Planctomycetota; Planctomycetia; Pirellulales; Pirellulaceae
Description: tRNA-Ser
Source: RNAcentral
GGAAGUCAUCCGGCUGGAUGAGGACACUGUUUUGAAAACAGCUGACGACUGCGUCGUUUGUGGGUUCGAGUCCCACGGCUUCCG